GGGAAGUGGGGAUGCUUACCAUGCAAGUCGAACGGAUGUUUUCGGACAUUAGUGGCGGACGGGUGAGUAACGCGUGAGAAUCUGCCUAUAGGUUGGGGACAACAGAUGGAAACGUCUGCUAAUACCCGAUGUGCCGAGAGGUAAAAGCUUUAGUGCCUGUAGAUGAGCUCGCGUCCGAUUAGCUAGUUGGUUAGGUAAAAGCUGACCAAGGCGACGAUCGGUAGCUGGUCUGAGAGAAUGAUCAGCCACACUGGGACUGAGACACGGCCCAGACUCCUACGGGAGGCAGCAGUGGGGAAUUUUCCGCAAUGGGCGAAAGCCUGACGGAGCAAUACCGCGUGCGGGACGAAGGCUUUUGGGUCGUAAACCGCUUUUGUUAGGGAAGAAUAAAUGACGGUACCUAACGAAUCAGCAUCGGCUAACUCCGUGCCAGCAGCCGCGGUAAUACGGGGGAUGCAAGCGUUAUCCGGAAUUAUUGGGCGUAAAGCGUCCGCAGGUGGUUUAUCAAGUCUGCUGUCAAAGCGUGGGGCUUAACCCCAUAAAGGCAGUGGAAACUGAGAGACUAGAGUACGGUAGGGGUAGCGGGAAUUCCCAGUGUAGCGGUGAAAUGCGUAGAUAUUGGGAAGAACACCAGCGGCGAAGGCGCGCUACUAGGCCGAAACUGACACUCAUGGACGAAAGCUAGGGGAGCGAAAGGGAUUAGAUACCCCUGUAGUCCUAGCUGUAAACGAUGACAACUAGGUGUUGCGCGUAUCGACCCGUGCAGUGCCGUAGCUAACGCGUUAAGUUGUCCGCCUGGGGAGUACGCACGCAAGUGUGAAACUCAAAGGAAUUGACGG
RNAcentral lists this ribosomal RNA (839 nucleotides) under uncultured bacterium. RNAcentral's name for it is "bacterial SSU rRNA". It matches the Rfam family "Bacterial small subunit ribosomal RNA", at positions 34 to 916 of the family's 1533-position model. The record is from RNAcentral.